GUGCCUUCGGGAACUCUGAGACAGGUGCUGCAUGGCUGUCGUCAGCUCGUGUUGUGAAAUGUUGGGUUAAGUCCCGCAACGAGCGCAACCCUUAUCCUUUGUUGCCAGCGGUUCGGCCGGGAACUCAAAGGAGACUGCCAGUGAUAAACUGGAGGAAGGUGGGGAUGACGUCAAGUCAUCAUGGCCCUUACGAGUAGGGCUACACACGUGCUACAAUGGCAUAUACAAAGAGAAGCGACCUCGCGAGAGCAAGCGGACCUCAUAAAGUAUGUCGUAGUCCGGAUUGGAGUCUGCAACUCGACUCCAUGAAGUCGGAAUCGCUAGUAAUCGUGGAUCAGAAUGCCACGGUGAAUACGUUCCCGGGCCUUGUACACACCGCCCGUCACACCAUGGGAGUGGGUUGCAAAAGAAGUAGGUAGCUUAACCUUCGGGAGGGCGCUUACCACUUUGUGAUUCAUGACUGGGGUGAAGUCGUAACAAGGUAACCGUAGGGGAACCUGCGGUUGGAUCACCUCCUUA
RNAcentral lists this non-coding RNA (519 nucleotides) under Citrobacter braakii. RNAcentral describes it as "bacterial SSU rRNA". It matches the Rfam family "Bacterial small subunit ribosomal RNA", at positions 1014 to 1533 of the family's 1533-position model. Lineage: Bacteria; Pseudomonadati; Pseudomonadota; Gammaproteobacteria; Enterobacterales; Enterobacteriaceae. The record is from RNAcentral.